This 73-nucleotide non-coding RNA is filed under the name Protocruzia adhaerens. The record is from RNAcentral. Lineage: Eukaryota; Ciliophora; Spirotrichea.
CGAUGAGUAAGUAAACUCGGAAUAUUUGAGAUAUUUCCCCUCUCAAAAACUUCAAGACCCUCUCAUUCUCGAA